RNAcentral lists this small nuclear RNA (156 nucleotides) under Rhinolophus ferrumequinum (greater horseshoe bat). Its description in RNAcentral is "U4 spliceosomal RNA (ENSRFEG00010013586.1)". It matches the Rfam family "U4 spliceosomal RNA". Rfam says of the family: U4 small nuclear RNA (U4 snRNA) is a component of the major U2-dependent spliceosome. The record is from RNAcentral. Lineage: Eukaryota; Metazoa; Chordata; Mammalia; Chiroptera; Rhinolophidae.
AGCUUUGCGCAGUGGCAGUAUCGUAGCCAAUGAGGUUUAUCCAAGGCGCGAUCAUUGCUAAUUGAAAACUGCUUAUUUUACUCAUUGGUGGUAGAAAUUAAUUUUUUCAAAGACUGUUUACAUAAGUGACAAUUUUUGCUGAGUUCACUCUAAUGG